This 290-nucleotide unclassified non-coding RNA is filed under the name uncultured fungus. RNAcentral's name for it is "partial contains small subunit ribosomal RNA, internal transcribed spacer 1, and 5.8S ribosomal RNA". The stretch from base 1 to 73 matches the Rfam family "Eukaryotic small subunit ribosomal RNA", at positions 1759 to 1831 of the family's 1831-position model. Lineage: Eukaryota; Fungi. The record is from RNAcentral.
GCAAACUUGGUCAUUUAGAGGAAGUAAAAGUCGUAACAAGGUUUCCGUAGGUGAACCUGCGGAAGGAUCAUUACGAGAUCUCGCUCGCAAGAGCGCCUCUCCCAACCCUAUGUUUACGUUUCCAUUGUUGCUUUGGCUGGCCACAAGGUUACCUUGCACUGGCUUUAUGCGAGUGAGAGUCCGCCGGAGAAAAUUUCUACUCUGAUUUAUUAUUGUCUGAGUCAAAAAUAUAAAUUAUUAAAACUUUCAACAACGGAUCUCUUGGUUCUGGCAUCGAUGAAGAACGCAGC